Molecule: small RNA, 526 nt
Filed under: Pan troglodytes (chimpanzee)
Lineage: Eukaryota; Metazoa; Chordata; Mammalia; Primates; Hominidae
Description: retained intron
Source: RNAcentral
GUGAGGAAUAGGGUAGAGGUGGAGAGAGAUUGUGAAUUUUGAAGAUUUACAUUCACGAGGUAAUGAAUUUGACAUUAAUUUAUUUUCAGAAAUAGACUGUGGUACCCCUCCUGAGGUUCCAGAUGGCUAUAUCAUAGGAAAUUAUACAUCUAGGCUGGGCAGCCAGGUUCGUUAUGCUUGCAGAGAAGGAUUCUUCAGUGUUCCAGAAGAUACAGUUUCAAGCUGCACAGCCCUGGGCACAUGGGAGUCCCCAAAAUUACAUUGCCAAGAGAUCAACUGUGGCAACCCUCCAGAAAUGCGGCACGCCAUCUUGGUAGGAAAUCACAGCUCCAGGCUGGGCGGUGUGGCUCGCUAUGUCUGUCAAGAGGGCUUUGAGAGCCCUGGAGGAAAGAUCACUUCUGUUUGCACAGAGAAAGGCACCUGGAGAGAAAGUACUUUAACAUGCACAGAAAUUCUGACAAAGAUUAAUGAUGUAUCACUGUUUAAUGAUACCUGUGUGAGAUGGCAAAUAAACUCAAGAAGAAUA